GACGAACGCUGGCGGCGUGCUUAACACAUGCAAGUCGAACGGUGAAGCGCCUUCCUUUUUGGUGGGUGUGGAUGAGUGGCGAACGGGUGAGUAACACGUGAGUAACCUGCCCCCUUCUUCUGGAUAACCGCAUGAAAGUGUGGCUAAUACGGGAUAUUCUGGGUCUGUCGCAUGAUGGGUCUGGGAAAGAUAUUGUUUCGGUGGGGGAUGGGCUCGCGGCCUAUCAGCUUGCUGGUGGGGUGAUGGCCUACCAAGGCGGUGACGGGUAGCCGGCCUGAGAGGGUGGACGGUCACACUGGGACUGAGACACGGCCCAGACUCCUACGGGUGGCAGCAGUGGGGAAUAUUGCACAAUGGGCGCAAGCCUGAUGCAGCGACGCCGCGUGAGGGAUGGAGGCCUUCGGGUUGUGAACCUCUUUCGCCAGUGAAGCAGGCCUGCCUCGUUUGUGGGUGGGUUGACGGUAGCUGGAUAAGAAGCGCCGGCUAACUACGUG
RNAcentral lists this ribosomal RNA (494 nucleotides) under uncultured bacterium. RNAcentral describes it as "partial 16S ribosomal RNA". It matches the Rfam family "Bacterial small subunit ribosomal RNA", at positions 28 to 507 of the family's 1533-position model. The record is from RNAcentral.